GGCGUUCAAUAUCUGUGCAUAGAUUUCGUCACACACCAGACCACAAGGGCUGAUGAGAAUUCCAAGAUAAGUGAAGCA
This 78-nucleotide microRNA precursor is filed under the name Schistosoma margrebowiei. Its description in RNAcentral is "mir-3492 microRNA precursor family". It matches the Rfam family "mir-3492 microRNA precursor family". The record is from Rfam by way of RNAcentral. Lineage: Eukaryota; Metazoa; Platyhelminthes; Trematoda; Strigeidida; Schistosomatidae.